UGAGGAAUUUAAAAGUAGAAGUAGGAGUGAUACAACAUUGAAAACUAGCAAGAUUGAAGAGAAUGCAUAAGAUAUAAAAUGGCAUAUAUCAGUACCAAUUUACCUAAAGAGAUUUUGUAUGAAUGCACCACAAGGAUAUCCAUGCAUAUACGAUAUCCUUGAGUGUGUGCCUGUGUACGCAUGUGUUUGGGGGGGGGGGGACGAGAGAGAGAGAGAAAGCGAGAGAGGUUGGGGGAAGGAGAGAGAGAGAGAGAGAGAGAGAGAGAGAGAGAGAGAGAGAGGAGGAGGGAGGUACGACAGUGUGAGUGACAUACUAGUACGUACUAAUUACUCUUACAACAACUAAGUAGUACGAGUAGUAGUAAGUAAACUUACUCUACACUUNNNNNNNNNNNNNNNNNNNNGAGAGAGAGAGAGAGAGAGAGAGAGAGAGAGAGGGGAGGUCACAUGUGAUGCAUACAUUAGCAAUUAUCUUCACAACAUUGCAAGUGAUGGAAAAUUCUCAUCUAUUAACAUAGGAAAUCUUUACCACAUAAAGGUUUUGAGUAUUUGGACACAUUAUCGGCUUCAACAUCCCAGAUAUCAUAACUCCCCUCUAGGGUCAUUUUGACAAAAAAAGAAGCCCACUGAGGGCAACAUAUACAGAUUAUUGUGCAUUCUAUUAGAAAGUGUGUAGUUGCCAUGACUGCUUCCACUAUGAGUUUUAUGUCAGCUGUGCCAUUGCCUAUUUCAAAUACAAUGCAAAAUAUGGUUAAUUGAAAUGCAAACAUAAUGUAUGCCACUUCCUCCUCCUGACCCUUCAUUUUGUUUCCCUAUUUAGCCUAACAAGGAUGCUUGUCCUGUCUUAUCCUUCACAAGCAUUUAUUGACAAUCAAAGCAUGUGAGCAGCAACCUCCAAAGCGGUAGCUUCGGAUACAUUGUUCACCCCAAGUUUCACUAAUUCCACGUCCACUUCCAUGCCACCUAUUGUAUUUUGUAUAGGUAUACUAUUAUAACGGUAUUGAUUGGUUUCCAACCUCUUGUAAUCUAAAAAGUAUUUCUAACCAUGACCCACCUUGAGUAGACCUCCACUUAUCCAUGAUAGAAAAGCCCUAGCAUAAAGAAAUUGCAAAUGCUGGCUUCAAGGUCCUUCAAACCUUAAACACGAGUUUACAGACUCACUCUUCCAAAGAAUAAUCUUAAGUUCUUAAAGGUCAGAUUCGCCGGAAACAGAGUAAAUGCAGUGAAAGAUUGCCGUGCUCUCUCUUAACCGCAGCGAGAAUUUGAUUGGCCCAAAAACUGAGGUAAAACUGCCGAGACUUGCUCUGCCAGUGUACGUGUGUAACAUGCCAGUGAAACUGAGGCCACAGCAGAGUUGAAGUCUGCUUAGCUGAGACAGAAUUGAGGGAAAAACUUGCAGUGAAAUACAGACAACAAUUUCUUUUCAUGAUUUGUCAAUGAUCCUCAAAACGAGUGUUCUAUAACCCUCCAGUGCCUUGAGGGAGCUGUUCCCUUGGUUCAAGACAGCGUAUUCACUAAACAGCGGCCAGAAUUCACCUUUUGAACCUCGGCUAGCCAUAACCCAAAAAGUUGGAGGAAGUCUCUACCAGAGGUGAAAUAUCACUUGGAGCCAACUUCACUCACAGAAAUCUUGCUUCAACACUGAACACUGGAGCAACCUUUCUCAGCAAAACUGCAAAAUAGUGUCGCGGAGAACUAGGUUUCUGGAAACAAUUUUGACUAGACCCAGAGUAAUGGGAAUGCUCCUGCUGUCUUCAAGGAGUUGAACGCUCUUGACACCAGUAAGCGGUACAAUCGCUUCCCGACAAGU
Molecule: long non-coding RNA, 1810 nt
Filed under: Amborella trichopoda
Lineage: Eukaryota; Viridiplantae; Streptophyta; Magnoliopsida; Amborellales; Amborellaceae
Description: long non-coding RNA (ATRI_LNC005474)
Source: RNAcentral